AAACUCAAAGGAAUUGACGGGGGAGCACCACAACGGGUGGAGCUUGCGGUUUAAUUGGAUUCAACGCCGGAAAUCUUACCGGGACCGACAGCAAUAUGAUGGCCAGGCUGAAGACUUUUGCCGGAUUAGCUGAGAGGUGGUGCAUGGCCGUCGUCAGUUCGUACUGUGAAGCAUCCUGUUAAGUCAGGCAACGAGCGAGACCCACGCCCACAGUUGCCAGCGUACUCUCCGGAGUGACGGGUACACUGUGGGACCGCCGCUGCUAAAGCGGAGGAAGGAAUGGGCAACGGUAGGUCAGUAUGCCCCGAACAUCCCGGGCUACACGCGAGCUACAAUGGUUGGUACAAUGGGUAUCUACCCCGAAAGGGGACGGGAAUCUCCUAAAACCAAUCUUAGUUCGGAUUGAGGGCUGCAACUCGCCCUCAUGAAGCUGGAAUCCGUAGUAAUCGCGUUUCAACAGAACGCGGUGAAUACGUCCCUGCUCCUU
Molecule: ribosomal RNA, 487 nt
Filed under: uncultured Methanosaeta sp.
Lineage: Archaea; Methanobacteriati; Methanobacteriota; Methanomicrobia; Methanotrichales; Methanotrichaceae
Description: bacterial SSU rRNA
Rfam family: Archaeal small subunit ribosomal RNA
Source: RNAcentral